This 399-nucleotide transfer-messenger RNA is filed under the name Patescibacteria group. RNAcentral describes it as "JACPKK01 sp016187105 Standard tmRNA". It matches the Rfam family "transfer-messenger RNA". From Rfam's summary of the family: Bacterial tmRNA, also known as 10Sa RNA or SsrA, is named for its dual tRNA and mRNA-like properties. Its role is to liberate the mRNA from a stalled ribosome. To accomplish this part of the tmRNA is used as a reading frame that ends in a translation stop signal. RNAcentral also lists the same sequence under 1 other name. The record is from RNAcentral.
GGGGGUGUAUUGUUUCGACGGGGUGGCACAUUAAAAACUGCAAGCCGAACAUGAUUCUAAAGUGCGUUAGUCUUUGAAUCAAAACUAAGUGCAAAAAAUACAUUUGCACGACUUGGAGACGUCCUUUUUGGACGAAACCAAGCAGCUUUUGCAGUUGCCUAAAAACAACGCUUAAGCUUGUUUCAUAAGUCUUUACUCGGUGAGGCUUUUGAGGCAACAACUUAGCCGAGAGUAGACGAGUUACUUCGAUCGGGUAACGAGUUGAAAAAAUUGAUCUUUGUUUAAAUUUAGCCUUUUUGCCGGCUAUAAAUUUGAACGAGACUUUAUAGACAAAAUAAGCUUGUAGAUGUUUUUAAUUUGUUUUCUCGGACAAGGGUUCAUAGCCCUUCACCUCCACCA